Molecule: ribosomal RNA, 406 nt
Filed under: uncultured bacterium
Lineage: Bacteria
Description: partial 16S ribosomal RNA
Rfam family: Bacterial small subunit ribosomal RNA
Source: RNAcentral
AUUGAACGCUGGCGGCAGGCCUAACACAUGCAAGUCGAGCGAGCGGCGGACGGGUGAGUAAUGUCUGGGAAACUGCCUGAUGGAGGGGGAUAACUACUGGAACCGGUAGCUAAUACCGCAUACCAUCAGAUGUGCCCAGAUGGGAUUAGCUGGUAGGUGGGGUAACGGCUCACCUAGGCGACGAUCCCUAGCUGGUCUGAGAGGCUGACCAGCCACACUGGAACUGAAGCACGUGCCAGACGCCUACGGGAGGGAGCAGUGGGGAAUAUUGCACAAUGGGAGCAAGCCUGAUGAAGCCAGGCCGCGUGUGUGAAGAAGGCCUGCGGGUUGUAAAGCACUUUCAGCGGGGAGGCGUUACCCGCAGAAGAAGCACCGGCUAACUCCGUGCCAGCAGCCGCGGUAAUUC